UGGCUCUCGCAUCGAUGAAGAACGCAGCGAAAUGCGAUAAGUAAUGUGAAUUGCAGAAUUCAGUGAAUCAUCGAAUCUUUGAACGCACCUUGCGCUCCUUGGUAUUCCGAGGAGCAUGCCUGUUUGAGUGUCGCUAAAUCAUCAACUCUCCCUUUUACUCUUGUGAAGGUGGUGAGAUUGGAUUUGGGGAUUGCUGGCUUCAAUAGUUAGCUUCCCUGGAAUACAUUAGCUGGAUCUUUGAUUUGCAGCAUAUAUGUGGUGUGAUAAUGUCUUCACUGUGUAGCUCAAGUCAUCUGGCUUCUAAUUGUCUUUGCGGACAACUUUUGAUCUUCCAGACCUCAAAUCAGGUAGGACUACCCGCUGA
RNAcentral lists this unclassified non-coding RNA (364 nucleotides) under uncultured fungus. RNAcentral's name for it is "partial contains 5.8S ribosomal RNA and internal transcribed spacer 2". The stretch from base 1 to 133 matches the Rfam family "5.8S ribosomal RNA", at positions 22 to 154 of the family's 154-position model. The record is from RNAcentral. Lineage: Eukaryota; Fungi.